UACGUAGGGGGCAAGCGUUGUCCGGAAUCAUUGGGCGUAAAGAGCGUGUAGGCGGUCCGGUAAGUCGGCUGUGAAAGUCCAGGGCUCAACCCUGGGAUGCCGGUCGAUACUGCCGGACUAGAGUUCGGAAGAGGCGAGUGGAAUUCCCGGUGUAGCGGUGAAAUGCGUAGAUAUUGGGAGGAACACCAGUGGCGAAGGCGGCUCACUGGACCGGAACUGACGCUGAGGCGCGAAAGCGUGGGGAGCAAACAGG
This 253-nucleotide ribosomal RNA is filed under the name uncultured bacterium. Its description in RNAcentral is "partial 16S ribosomal RNA". It matches the Rfam family "Bacterial small subunit ribosomal RNA", at positions 524 to 776 of the family's 1533-position model. The record is from RNAcentral.